ACACCGGCAGCUCAAGUGGUAGCCGCUUUUAUUGGGCCUAAAGCGUCCGUAGCCGGUCUGAUAAGUCUCUGGUGAAAUCCCGCAGCUUAACUGUGGGAAUUGCUGGAGAUACUAUCAUGACUCGAGGUCGGGAGAGGCUGGAGGUACUCCCAGGGUAGGGGUGAAAUCCUGUAAUCCUGGGAGGACCACCUGUGGCGAAGGCGUCCAGCUGGAACGAACCUGACGGUGAGGGACGAAAGCCAGGGGCGCGAACCGGAUUAGAUACCCGGGUAGUCCUGGCCGUAAACGAUGUGGACUUGGUGUUGGGAUGGCUUCGAGCUGCCCCAGUGCCGAAGGGAAGCUGUUAAGUCCGCCGCCUGGGAAGUACGGCCGCAAGGCUGAAACUCAAAUGAAUUGGCGGGG
This 402-nucleotide ribosomal RNA is filed under the name uncultured bacterium. RNAcentral describes it as "partial 16S ribosomal RNA". It matches the Rfam family "Archaeal small subunit ribosomal RNA", at positions 473 to 873 of the family's 1478-position model. The record is from RNAcentral.